UGGCAUUCAGGCCGUGUCAAUCGCCGAACGGUUGCUAAGUUCCUCUCAGCCAAGUGUGUGUUUGCCACGGUCAAGCCUCACACCGUGGCAUGAAUAUCGUGUCAUUGGCCGAGGGUGCACAAAAGUUGCCACGGCCAAGUGUGGACCGUGGCAUUGAAAUCGCGGCAUGUUUAACUUAGUCAUCCUGGACUGUCUGGACCAUCUCGCAUUCCGGAGAGUGUAACUUCCUGGAGACCUGUCCGAAUUGAGUAAUUCCGGUUGCAGAAGACAGAGGACUCAUUUCUCUCCAACUUUGAUGAAGGAAGUUUCAGUGCUUGGGAAGUGUAAGGUUUCC
This 334-nucleotide long non-coding RNA is filed under the name Eutrema salsugineum. Its description in RNAcentral is "long non-coding RNA (ESAL_LNC000518)". The record is from RNAcentral. Lineage: Eukaryota; Viridiplantae; Streptophyta; Magnoliopsida; Brassicales; Brassicaceae.